Long non-coding RNA from Cimex lectularius (bed bug), 967 nucleotides. RefSeq lists it as uncharacterized. Lineage: Eukaryota; Metazoa; Arthropoda; Insecta; Hemiptera; Cimicidae. The record is from RefSeq and is a predicted model, not a curated record. The transcript is spliced from 3 exons.
UCCGAUGUGUUGGGGGCGGUUGGUGGGGUGGCUGAUGUGAAAGUGGGGGCUGCAAUUCUGAACAGUUCUUCGCCGACUACUCAACGCGGAACAGCGGCGCACCCGACUCGCCUGAAAACCACAUGUGGGACCAGAAAUGGAGAACUGGGUUGGACCGGCGAGACAGAGGUCUUUGAGAGACCGGCUGCGGCAAGGGAUAGCCGGCGGCCUUCCUUGGCAGUAAGUAAGCUGAUAAACCGUUUGAAAGUGCAUAGAUCGUAAGUUAUUUAUUUCUCGUAGUGCGAUAAUUUACCGUAAUAUAGUGUAUAUUGUUUUCUGCAUAUGAGAACAAUUGCUUUUAUGAACAUAUCCUAAAAGAAAAUUGUUCAAGAACGUACGAAUGUUUUAUAAUUGACUUCUUAUCCUUAAACCGAUCGCAAAAAAACCAUCAUAGCCGCUAUUAAUGACGGAGAGCGAAAAACAAAAUAGACAAAAGUCCCUUACUGACAAUUGCAGGAUAUCUUUUUGGAAUUAUUCGCUUCGACUGCCAUUGAGAUAAGUGAUGCUGGGAGUUGGAGAUCCAUUGUUCGCAGAAAGACAAAAGGCGUCGGCCUAUUGUCCGUAUUGACGCUCGAAUCUGAAUCAAUCGGUAGCUACCGAUAACGCUCAGGUGUAUACAACUGCAGUAACGUGGGGGUUGAAUCGCCACGACUUGAAUGAUCCUGAUUUUUUGUCAAUGUUGCCUAGGAACAAAUAUGGCUGCAAAAAUCAAUAUUUAAAAUUACAAGUAAAAAUAUGUUAUGUAUAUCUGAACAAUAAUGAAAGAACUGACGUAAAAUCGUUAUGGUAUAAUACACAUACAAUCCUGCAGUAAUUUGAAAAGUGAAAGGAUGGAUGAAACCCUAUUGUUCUCCUGCGAUAGCGAAAUAAAUUAAGAUAGCGAUAUUUUUCACGACUUUGGCUCAAUAUUUUAAGUCUCCGUUCAUAA